CCAAAUUAUGUCCAGGACUAAAACCGCAUCAGUGAAUCAGACGCUGGUGUGGUAUUCAAGUGGACUACAUUAAAACCCAUGAUAUACUAUUCCUCUUAAGGGCAUUGGCUAAAAGAUGCGUUCCUUAAUAAAGUUCAAAAAUCAACAAAAACAACUA
Small nucleolar RNA from Drosophila albomicans, 157 nucleotides. NCBI's taxonomy places the organism in Eukaryota, Metazoa, Arthropoda, Insecta, Diptera, Drosophilidae. The record is from RefSeq and is a predicted model, not a curated record.